AAGGAACACUUGCUGUGGUAUG
This 22-nucleotide microRNA is filed under the name Triops cancriformis. Its description in RNAcentral is "tcf-miR-2944b". The record is from miRBase by way of RNAcentral. Lineage: Eukaryota; Metazoa; Arthropoda; Branchiopoda; Notostraca; Triopsidae.